GAUGAACGCUGGCGGCGUGCCUAAUACAUGCAAGUCGAGCGAACGGACGAGAAGCUUGCUUCUCUGAUGUUAGCGGCGGACGGGUGAGUAACACGUGGAUAACCUACCUAUAAGACUGGGAUAACUUCGGGAAACCGGAGCUAAUACCGGAUAAUAUUUUGAACCGCAUGGUUCAAAAGUGAAAGACGGUCUUGCUGUCACUUAUAGAUGGAUCCGAGCUGCAUGAGCUAGUUGGUAAGGUAACGGCAUACCAAGGCAACGAUGCAUAGCCGACCUGAGAGGGUGGUCGGCCACACUGGAACUGAGACACGGUCCAGACUCCUACGGGAGGCAGCAGUAGGGAAUCUUCCGCAAUGGGCGAAAGCCUGACGGAGCAACGCCGCGUGAGUGAUGAAGGUCUUCGGAUCGUAAAACUCUGUUAUUAGGGAAGAACAUAUGUGUAAGUAACUGUGCACAUCUUGACGGUACCUAAUCAGAAAGCCACGGCUAACUACGUG
RNAcentral lists this ribosomal RNA (497 nucleotides) under uncultured bacterium. RNAcentral's name for it is "partial 16S ribosomal RNA". It matches the Rfam family "Bacterial small subunit ribosomal RNA", at positions 28 to 507 of the family's 1533-position model. The record is from RNAcentral.